This is a long non-coding RNA of Lepisosteus oculatus (spotted gar), 477 nucleotides long. RefSeq lists it as uncharacterized. The record is from RefSeq and is a predicted model, not a curated record. Lineage: Eukaryota; Metazoa; Chordata; Actinopteri; Semionotiformes; Lepisosteidae.
UGUUGGUUUGAGAUGGUGCUGUAGGAGUCUGACGUAGAAGUAAAAGGAAAAAUAUACACACACAUUGAAGGAUUUUAAAAUGAACAGAAAGUUUAAGGAACUGUGAAGGUGAAAUCUGUGGCCUGCAGACCUGAGUACUACCAUGCCUCAUGCACAAGUCACAAAAUGUCCUCCAGUACCUCUGCCAGCAACAACUGCAUUUGAAGUCUCCCUCCUCAUUGGCAAUUUUCCUCUUGUCCCUGAUGUCCGAGCAGUCCAGGCUUUAAGUGGACAAGAAGCACCUCCAGCCGAGAGUUUGUCGAUGACAGUGGAGCCAAAAGAAAUCAAAACUAGAUGGGUUGCUGCCAUUGGUCCCUCAAGCUUGGUUCUUUUAUCCCCGAAUUCCUGAGAAUUCAACAGCUGUCAGGGCAGCAGGUUUCGUGCACGUUAUGUGAAAAACCAAAGACAAAAUGUUUAGAGCCAGGCACCACAACCAUU